This 119-nucleotide ribosomal RNA is filed under the name Aegilops tauschii subsp. strangulata. The record is from RNAcentral. Lineage: Eukaryota; Viridiplantae; Streptophyta; Magnoliopsida; Poales; Poaceae.
GGAUGCGAUCAUAGCAGCACUAAAGCACUGGACCCCAUCAGAACUCCGAAGUUAAGCGUGCUUGGGCGAGAGUAGUACUUGGAUGGGUGACCUCUUGGGAAGUCCUCGUGUUGCAUUCC